AUGGCAUGCCGGAGGGUCCUGUCGUUGGCGAAUGAACUAAAUGUUCAGAGGAUCAAUCUCGAGACAGAUUCACAAGUGAUGGCGAGAAAGGUCAUGAAUGAAGAGAAGGACUUCUCGGCCAACGGGCGACUGGUGGAGGAGAUAAAAGUGUUACUUGGAUCAUUUACAGACUUUGGGGUUGCUUGGGUGCGACGCUCUGAAAAUAAUGUCGCACACGUCCUACCUAGGGAGGGUUGCUUGAAAUCUUUAUGUAAAACUUGGCUUCAUGUGUCUCCUGAGCGUGUUAGCUCGGGGAUCAUCUGA
RNAcentral lists this ribosomal RNA (303 nucleotides) under Triticum aestivum (bread wheat). RNAcentral describes it as "partial small subunit ribosomal RNA". The record is from RNAcentral. Lineage: Eukaryota; Viridiplantae; Streptophyta; Magnoliopsida; Poales; Poaceae.